Non-coding RNA from Paramuricea clavata, 159 nucleotides. The record is from the annotation of a GenBank genome assembly. Lineage: Eukaryota; Metazoa; Cnidaria; Anthozoa; Malacalcyonacea; Plexauridae.
AUAUAUAUAUUUAUUUACCGGCUGCGAGGUCCGGAUGAGAAAAACUGUGCCCGAGGUCUUGCAAACGGCCCGAGCCCGAAGGGCGAGGGACGUUUUCAAGACCCGGAGGGCACAGUUUUUCUCAUCCGGACCGACGCUGCCGGUAAAUAACGUGUUUAU